Molecule: ribosomal RNA, 253 nt
Filed under: uncultured bacterium
Lineage: Bacteria
Description: partial 16S ribosomal RNA
Rfam family: Bacterial small subunit ribosomal RNA
Source: RNAcentral
UACGAAGGGGGCUAGCGUUGUUCGGAAUCACUGGGCGUAAAGCGCACGCAGGCGGAUCGAUAAGUCGGGGGUGAAAGCCCGGGGCUCAACCUCGGAAUUGCCUUCGAUACUGUCGGUCUCGAGUCCGGGAGAGGUGAGUGGAACUGCGAGUGUAGAGGUGAAAUUCGUAGAUAUUAGGAAGAACACCAGUGGCGAAGGCGGCUCACUGGCCCGGUACUGACGCUCAGGUGCGAAAGCGUGGGGAGCAAACAGG